RNAcentral lists this ribosomal RNA (328 nucleotides) under uncultured eukaryote. RNAcentral's name for it is "partial 18S ribosomal RNA". It matches the Rfam family "Eukaryotic small subunit ribosomal RNA", at positions 1470 to 1796 of the family's 1831-position model. The record is from RNAcentral.
CCCUUAGAUGUCCUGGGCCGCACGCGCGCUACACUGAUGCAUGCAACGAGUUUAUAACCUUGGCCUGAAAGGUCUGGGUAAUCUUUUGAACGUGCAUCGUGAUAGGGAUAGAUUAUUGCAAUUGUUAAUCUUGAACGAGGAAUUCCUAGUAAACGCGAGUCAUCAGCUCGCAUUGAUUACGUCCUUGCCCUUUGUACACACCGCCCGUCGCACCUACCGAUUGAAUGGUUCGGUGAAGAUCUCGGACUUCGAUAUUUAUUCUUUAUUGAGUUUAUAUUGUGGGAAGUUAUCUAAACCUCAUCAUUUAGAGGAAGGUGAAGUCGUAACA